RNAcentral lists this transfer RNA (74 nucleotides) under Fructobacillus durionis. It matches the Rfam family "tRNA". From Rfam's summary of the family: Transfer RNA (tRNA) molecules are approximately 80 nucleotides in length. Their secondary structure includes four short double-helical elements and three loops (D, anti-codon, and T loops). RNAcentral also lists the same sequence under 1 other name. The record is from Rfam by way of RNAcentral. Lineage: Bacteria; Bacillati; Bacillota; Bacilli; Lactobacillales; Lactobacillaceae.
CGGGACGUAGCUCAGCUUGGUAGAGCACCUGCUUUGGGAGCAGGGGGUCGCAGGUUCGAAUCCUGUCGUCCCGA